CUACGGGAGGCUGCAGUGGGGAAUAUUGCACAAUGGGCGCAAGCCUGAUGCAGCCAUGCCGCGUGUAUGAAGAAGGCCUUCGGGUUGUAAAGUACUUUCAGCGGGGAGGAAGGGAGUAAAGUUAAUACCUUUGCUCAUUGACGUUACCCGCAGAAGAAGCACCGGCUAACUCCGGGCCAGCAGCCGCGGUAAUACGGAGGGUGCAAGCGUUAAUCGGAAUUACUGGGCGUAAAGCGCACGCAGGCGGUUUGUUAAGUCAGAUGUGAAAUCCCCGGGCUCAACCUGGGAACUGCAUCUGAUACUGGCAAGCUUGAGUCUCGUAGAGGGGGGUAGAAUUCCAGGUGUAGCGGUGAAAUGCGUAGAGAUCUGGAGGAAUACCGGUGGCGAAGGCGGCUCCCUGGACGAAGACUGACGCUCAGGUGCGAAAGCGUGGGGAGCAAACAGGAUUAGAUACCCGCGUAGUC
Molecule: ribosomal RNA, 464 nt
Filed under: uncultured bacterium
Lineage: Bacteria
Description: partial 16S ribosomal RNA
Rfam family: Bacterial small subunit ribosomal RNA
Source: RNAcentral